This 598-nucleotide ribosomal RNA is filed under the name Goniozus (Parasierola) sp. MC-2010. RNAcentral describes it as "eukaryotic LSU rRNA". The record is from RNAcentral. Lineage: Eukaryota; Metazoa; Arthropoda; Insecta; Hymenoptera; Bethylidae.
CGAAGGGGGAGAUUCAUCGUCAGCGGUGCAGGCUGCUCGGUGACUCGCGAUGUCGCGGGCUACGGCUCGACGUCACGCGGUCGUCGUGGCAUCGUUCGGUAACGUCGACGUGCACUUCUCCCCUUGUAGAACGUCGCGACCCGUUGGGUGUCGUUCUAAGGCCCGGAUGGCUGCCUGUCUCGACGUUUCGGCGCAUCGAGACAGACCACCGGUCGCCAGUUAACGGCUGCCCGGCGGUACACACACGGUAUAGAGCCGCAGCAAUUUAUCGAUUGCGUCGGACCCGCCGCAAGCGAGGCCAGUGUCUCACCGGGAAUCGCGGACCUAGUGCCGUCCCCGGUCCUGGCCAGCUGUUGGUAGGCGGUGUUCUCCGACUGGCCGAUUUUUUUUACCGGUCGGCGACGCUACUGCUUUGGGUAAUCUCAGGACCCGUCUUGAAACACGGACCAAGGAGUCUAACAUGUACGCGAGUCAUUGGGACCGCAUACCUAAAGGCAAAAUGAAAGUGAAGGUCGAUCUAGCGUCGACCGAGGGAGGAUGGAUCGCGUUACGAUGCGAUCCCGCACUCCCGGGGCGUCUCGUUCUCAUUGAGCACCCA